UACGAAGGGGGCUAGCGUUGUUCGGAUUAACUGGGCGUAAAGGGUGCGUAGGCGGGGUUUUAAGUCAGGGGUGAAAUGCCGAGGCUCAACUUCGGAACUGCCUUUGAUACUGGAACUCUUGAGUCUGGGAGAGGUGAGUGGAACUGCGAGUGUAGAGGUGAAAUUCGUAGAUAUUCGCAAGAACACCAGUGGCGAAGGCGGCUCACUGGCCCGGAACUGACGCUGAGGCACGAAAGCGUGGGGAGCAAACAGG
RNAcentral lists this ribosomal RNA (253 nucleotides) under uncultured bacterium. Its description in RNAcentral is "partial 16S ribosomal RNA". It matches the Rfam family "Bacterial small subunit ribosomal RNA", at positions 524 to 776 of the family's 1533-position model. The record is from RNAcentral.